UCUUCCUUAGCUCAGUUGGUUAGAGCACCUGACUGUUAAUCAGGGGGUCGUUGGUUCAAGUCCAACAGGAAGAGCAA
This 77-nucleotide transfer RNA is filed under the name Bacteroidetes bacterium 47-18. Its description in RNAcentral is "tRNA-Asn". It matches the Rfam family "tRNA". Rfam says of the family: Transfer RNA (tRNA) molecules are approximately 80 nucleotides in length. Their secondary structure includes four short double-helical elements and three loops (D, anti-codon, and T loops). Lineage: Bacteria; Pseudomonadati; Bacteroidota. The record is from RNAcentral.